AACGAACGCUGGCGGCAUGCCUAACACAUGCAAGUCGAACGAGACCUUCGGGUCUAUUGGCGCACGGGUGCGUAACACGUGGGAAUCUGCCCUUUGCUUCGGAAUAACAGUUAGAAAUGACUGCUAAUACCGGAUGAUGUCGAAAGACCAAAGAUUUAUCGGCAAAGGAUGAGCCCGCGUAGGAUUAGGUAGUUGGUGGGGUAAAGGCCUACCAAGCCGACGAUCCUUAGCUGGUCUGAGAGGAUGAUCAGCCACACUGGGACUGAGACACGGCCCAGACUCCUACGGGAGGCAGCAGUGGGGAAUAUUGGACAAUGGGCGAAAGCCUGAUACAGCAAUGCCGCGUGAGUGAUGAAGGCCUUAGGGUUGUAAAGCUCUUUUACCAGGGAUGAUAAUGACAGUACCUGGAGAAUAAGCUCCGGCUAACUCCGUG
Molecule: ribosomal RNA, 433 nt
Filed under: uncultured bacterium
Lineage: Bacteria
Description: partial 16S ribosomal RNA
Rfam family: Bacterial small subunit ribosomal RNA
Source: RNAcentral